RNAcentral lists this ribosomal RNA (253 nucleotides) under uncultured bacterium. Its description in RNAcentral is "partial 16S ribosomal RNA". It matches the Rfam family "Bacterial small subunit ribosomal RNA", at positions 524 to 776 of the family's 1533-position model. The record is from RNAcentral.
UACGUAGGUGACAAGCGUUGUCCGGAUUUACUGGGCGUAAAGAGCGCGCAGGCGGUCGAUCAAGUCGAAUGUGAAAGCCCCCGGCUCAACUGGGGAGGGUCAUUCGAUACUGUUCGACUCGAAGGCAGGAGAGGGAAGUGGAAUUCCCGGUGUAGUGGUGAAAUGCGUAGAUAUCGGGAGGAACACCAGUGGCGAAGGCGACUUCCCGGCCUGUUCUUGACGCUGAGGCGCGAAAGCUAGGGGAGCAAACGGG